This 466-nucleotide ribosomal RNA is filed under the name uncultured Gammaproteobacteria bacterium. Its description in RNAcentral is "bacterial SSU rRNA". It matches the Rfam family "Bacterial small subunit ribosomal RNA", at positions 39 to 495 of the family's 1533-position model. The record is from RNAcentral. Lineage: Bacteria; Pseudomonadati; Pseudomonadota; Gammaproteobacteria.
AGCGGCAGGCUUAACACAUGCAAGUCGAGCGGUAACAGGGGGAGCUUGCUCCCCGCUGACGAGCGGCGGACGGGUGAGUAAUGCAUAGGAAACUGCCCAGUAGUGGGGGAUAGCCCGGGGAAACCCGGAUUAAUACCGCAUACGCCCUUUGGGGGAAAGCAGGGGAUCUUCGGACCUUGCGCUAUUGGAUGUGCCUAUGUCGGAUUAGCUAGUUGGUGGGGUAAGAGCCUACCAAGGCGACGAUCCGUAGCUGGUCUGAGAGGAUGAUCAGCCACAUCGGGACUGAGACACGGCCCGAACUCCUACGGGAGGCAGCAGUGGGGAAUAUUGGACAAUGGGGGCAACCCUGAUCCAGCCAUGCCGCGUGUGUGAAGAAGGCUUUCGGGUUGUAAAGCACUUUCAGUGAGGAGGAAAACCUUACGACUAAUACUCGUGAGGCUUGACGUUACUCACAGAAGAAGCACCG